This 202-nucleotide ribosomal RNA is filed under the name Staphylococcus epidermidis. RNAcentral's name for it is "partial 16S ribosomal RNA". It matches the Rfam family "Bacterial small subunit ribosomal RNA", at positions 327 to 523 of the family's 1533-position model. Lineage: Bacteria; Bacillati; Bacillota; Bacilli; Caryophanales; Staphylococcaceae. The record is from RNAcentral.
CGGUCCAGACUCCUACGGGAGGCAGCAGUAGGGAAUCUUCCGCAAUGGGCGAAAGCCUGACGGAGCAACGCGCGUGAGUGAUGAAGGUCUUCGGAUCGUAAAACUCUGUUAUUAGGGAAGAACAAAUGUGUAAGUACUAUGCACGUCUUGACGGUACCUAAUCAGAAAGCCACGGCUAACUACGUGCCAGCAGCCGCGGUAA